UGGCGACCGGCGGCACGGGUGAGUAACACGUAUCCAACCUGCCGAUGACUCGGGGAUAGCCUUUCGAAAGAAAGAUUAAUACCCGAUGGCAUAGUUCUUCCGCAUGGUAGAACUAUUAAAGAAUUUCGGUCAUCGAUGGGGAUGCGUUCCAUUAGGUUGUUGGCGGGGUAACGGCCCACCAAGCCUUCGAUGGAUAGGGGUUCUGAGAGGAAGGUCCCCCACAUUGGAACUGAGACACGGUCCAAACUCCUACGGGAGGCAGCAUG
This 266-nucleotide ribosomal RNA is filed under the name uncultured bacterium. Its description in RNAcentral is "partial 16S ribosomal RNA". It matches the Rfam family "Bacterial small subunit ribosomal RNA", at positions 88 to 353 of the family's 1533-position model. The record is from RNAcentral.